AUCGAACGCUGGCGGCAGGCCUAACACAUGCAAGUCGAGCGGAUGAAGGGAGCUUGCUCCUGGAUUCAGCGGCGGACGGGUGAGUAAUGCCUAGGAAUCUGCCUGGUAGUGGGGGAUAACGUCCGGAAACGGGCGCUAAUACCGCAUACGUCCUGAGGGAGAAAGUGGGGGAUCUUCGGACCUCACGCUAUCAGAUGAGCCUAGGUCGGAUUAGCUAGUUGGUGGGGUAAAGGCCUACCAAGGCGACGAUCCGUAACUGGUCUGAGAGGAUGAUCGGUCACACUGGAACUGAGACACGGUCCAGACUCCUACGGGAGGCAGCAGUGGGGAAUAUUGGACAAUGGGCGAAAGCCUGAUCCAGCCAUGCCGCGUGUGUGAAGAAGGUCUUCAGAUUGUAAAGCACUUUAAGUUGGGAGGAAGGGCAGUAAGUUAAUACCUUGCUGUUUUGACGUUACCAACAGAAUAAGCACCGGCUAACUUCGUG
This 484-nucleotide ribosomal RNA is filed under the name uncultured bacterium. Its description in RNAcentral is "partial 16S ribosomal RNA". It matches the Rfam family "Bacterial small subunit ribosomal RNA", at positions 30 to 507 of the family's 1533-position model. The record is from RNAcentral.